Molecule: ribosomal RNA, 515 nt
Filed under: uncultured bacterium
Lineage: Bacteria
Description: bacterial SSU rRNA
Rfam family: Bacterial small subunit ribosomal RNA
Source: RNAcentral
CUAGAACGAACGCUGGCGGCGUGCUUAACACAUGCAAGUCGAACGCGAAAGGGACUUCGGUCCUGAGUAAAGUGGCGCACGGGUGAGUAACGCGUAGAUAACCUGUCUUCAUGUCUGGAAUAAUACGCCGAAAGGGGUACUAAUACCGGAUAUUCUUGCUUUUCAUAAGUUAUGCAAGCAAAGGUGGCCUCUGCAUAUGCUACUGCAUGAAGAGGGGUCUGCGUACCAUUAGCUAGUAGGUGGGGUAAUGGCCUACCUAGGCGACGAUGGUUAGCGGGUCUGAGAGGAUGAUCCGCCACACUGGCACUGGAACACGGGCCAGACUCCUACGGGAGGCAGCAGUGAGGAAUAUUGCGCAAUGGGGGAAACCCUGACGCAGCGACGCCGCGUGAGUGAGGAAAGGCCUUCGGGUCGUAAAGCUCUGUCAAGAGGAAAGAAGUGUACAAUGGCUAAUACCUGUUGUAUUUGACGGUACCUCUAAAGGAAGCACCGGCUAACUCCGUGCCAGCAGCUGC